GAUGAACGCUGGCGGCGUGCCUAACACAUGCAAGUCGAGCGAACGGACGAGAAGAUCGUGCCCUUGAUGGUAGCGGCGGACGGGCGAGUAACACGUGGAUAACCUACUUAUUUGACGGGGAGAAUAUCGGGAAACCGGAGCUAAUAAUAGAGAAUACUUCGUACCGCUUGGUUCAAAAGUGCAUGACGGCUUGCCCGUUUGAAAUAGAUGGUGUCGGGUUGGAUUAGUUAGUUGGUAAGGUAACGGCCUACCAAGGCUACGAUGCGUAGCCGAGCUGAGAGGGUGAUCGGCCACACUGGAACUGAGACACGGUCCAGACUCCUACGGGAGGCAGCAGUAGGGAAUAUUCCACAAUGGGCGAAAGCCUGACGCAGCAACACCGCGUGGGUGAUGAAGGUCUUCGGGUCGUAAAGCUCUGUUGUUGGGGAAGAAAAGCAGUAGGUGAAUCCGUCGACGUCCUGACGGUACCUAAACAAAAAGCAACGGCUAACUUCGUG
This 497-nucleotide ribosomal RNA is filed under the name uncultured bacterium. Its description in RNAcentral is "partial 16S ribosomal RNA". It matches the Rfam family "Bacterial small subunit ribosomal RNA", at positions 28 to 507 of the family's 1533-position model. The record is from RNAcentral.